RNAcentral lists this unclassified non-coding RNA (432 nucleotides) under soil metagenome. RNAcentral's name for it is "partial contains 5.8S ribosomal RNA, internal transcribed spacer 2, and large subunit ribosomal RNA". The stretch from base 1 to 120 matches the Rfam family "5.8S ribosomal RNA", at positions 35 to 154 of the family's 154-position model. The record is from RNAcentral.
GAUGAAGAACGUAGCGAAAUGCGAUACGUAAUGUGAAUUGCAGAAUUCAGUGAAUCAUCGAAUCUUUGAACGCAUAUUGCGCUCUCUGGUAUUCCGGAGAGCAUGCUUGUUUGAGUAUCAGUAAACACCUCAACUUCCAUAUCUUUUUUGAAAUGGGAGUUGGACUUGAGUGAUCCCAACGCUUUUCCUCACCGAAAAGUGGCGGGUUACUUGAAAUGCAGGUGCAGCUGGACUUUUCUCUGAGCUAUAAGCAUAUCUAUUUAGUCUGCCUAAAAAACAGAUUAUUACCUUUGCUGCAGCUAACAUAAAGGAGAUUAGUUCUUGUGCUGACUGAUGCAGGAUUCACAAAGACGGCUUCGGCCGACUUUGUAAACUCGAUCUCAAAUCAAGUAAGACUACCCGCUGAACUUAAGAAUAUCAAUAAGCGGAGGA